UUUUCAAAAGCAUAAAACAUCUCAUGCAUCAUGACAUGGCAUGAGGCUAACUUGUUUUCAGGUUAAUUAUCCUCCCGAUAUAGUCAAAUAAAGGUUCAUUCAGACAGACGCCCUCAGCAGUUACAUUCGAGAUUCAGAUGCAUCUUUCAGAUAUAACCCAUGUGAAUAUUCGUUCUGACAAGCAUUCUGAUAUCCUCCUAAUGAUGGCAUCUUUAAG
RNAcentral lists this long non-coding RNA (217 nucleotides) under Lathyrus oleraceus (garden pea). RNAcentral describes it as "Pisum sativum (pea) long non-coding RNA (PSAT_LNC003602)". Lineage: Eukaryota; Viridiplantae; Streptophyta; Magnoliopsida; Fabales; Fabaceae. The record is from RNAcentral.